UAUGAAAUGGCAGAAUUAAUGCCUAAACUUUAAGCGUUUAACAUGACCCUAGGUCUUUCAU
Molecule: transfer RNA, 61 nt
Filed under: Facelina bostoniensis
Lineage: Eukaryota; Metazoa; Mollusca; Gastropoda; Nudibranchia; Facelinidae
Description: tRNA-Leu
Source: RNAcentral